Molecule: ribosomal RNA, 253 nt
Filed under: uncultured bacterium
Lineage: Bacteria
Description: partial 16S ribosomal RNA
Rfam family: Bacterial small subunit ribosomal RNA
Source: RNAcentral
UACGUAGGGUGCAAGCGUUGUUCGGAAUUACUGGGCGUAAAGGGCGCGUAGGCGGCCUGCUAAGUCGAACGUGAAAUCCCUGGGCUCAACCCAGGAACUGCGUCCGAUACUGGUUGGCUUGAAUCCGGGAGAGGGACGUGGAAUUCCAGGUGUAGCGGUGAAAUGCGUAGAUAUCUGGAGGAACACCGGUGGCGAAGGCGACGUCCUGGACCGGUAUUGACGCUGAGGCGCGAAAGCCAGGGGAGCAAACGGG